Non-coding RNA from Rattus norvegicus (Norway rat), 72 nucleotides. The record is from Rfam. NCBI's taxonomy places the organism in Eukaryota, Metazoa, Chordata, Mammalia, Rodentia, Muridae.
GGGGAUUUAGCUCAGUGGUAGAGCGCUUGCCUAGCAAGCAAAAGGCCCUGGGUUCAGUCCCCAGACCCCCCA